This 61-nucleotide transfer RNA is filed under the name Rhipicephalus geigyi. RNAcentral describes it as "tRNA-Thr". The record is from RNAcentral. Lineage: Eukaryota; Metazoa; Arthropoda; Arachnida; Ixodida; Ixodidae.
ACUAAAAUAAUUUAAUUUAAAAUGUUGAUUUUGUAAAUCAAUUUUGGACUUCCUUUUAGUA